RNAcentral lists this ribosomal RNA (860 nucleotides) under uncultured Planctomycetota bacterium. RNAcentral describes it as "bacterial SSU rRNA". It matches the Rfam family "Bacterial small subunit ribosomal RNA", at positions 28 to 895 of the family's 1533-position model. Lineage: Bacteria; Pseudomonadati; Planctomycetota. The record is from RNAcentral.
AAUGAACGUUGGCGGCGUGGAUUAGGCAUGCAAGUCGAGCGAGAAGUUCCCUGCUUGCAGGGGAUGGACAGCGGCGUAAGGGAGAGUAACGCGUGGAUAACCUACCCUGGGGUCCGGAAUAGCUGCGGGAAACUGCAGGUAAUGCCGGAAACAUCUUCGGAUCAAAGGUGUGAUUCCGCCCUAGGAGGGGUCCGCGUCCUAUUAGCUUGUUGGUGGGGUAACGGCCUACCAAGGCUACGAUGGGUACCGGGUGUGAGAGCAUGGCCCGGCUCACUGGGACUGAGACACUGCCCAGACACCUACGGGUGGCUGCAGUCGAGAAUCUUCGGCAAUGGGCGCAAGCCUGACCGAGCGACGCCGCGUGCGGGAUGAAGGCCUUCGGGUUGUAAACCGCUGUCGGAGGGGAGGAAAUCGUAGGGGGCUAUCCCCUUAUGUUGACCUAUCCUUAGAGGAAGGACGGGCUAAGUUCGUGCCAGCAGCCGCGGUAAGACGAACCGUCCAAACGUUAUUCGGAAUUACUGGGCUUAAAGGGUGCGUAGGCGGCGCCGUAAGUCGGGUGUGAAAUCCCUCGGCUCAACCGAGGAACUGCGCCCGAUACUGCGGUGCUUGAGGGAGACAGAGGUAAGCGGAACUGAUGGUGGAGCGGUGAAAUGCGUUGAUAUCAUCAGGAACACCAGUAGCGAAAGCGGCUUACUGGGUCUCUUCUGACGCUGAGGCACGAAAGCUAGGGUAGCGAACGGGAUUAGAUACCCCGGUAGUCCUAGCUGUAAACGAUGAGCACUUGAUCGGAGACUCCUCCAUAGGUUUCCGGUCGAAGCGAAAGUGUUAAGUGCUCCGCCUGGGGAGAUGGUCGCAAGGCU